RNAcentral lists this ribosomal RNA (444 nucleotides) under uncultured bacterium. Its description in RNAcentral is "bacterial SSU rRNA". It matches the Rfam family "Bacterial small subunit ribosomal RNA", at positions 331 to 792 of the family's 1533-position model. The record is from RNAcentral.
CCAGACUCCUACGGGAGGCAGCAGUGGGGAAUAUUGCACAAUGGGGGAAACCCUGAUGCAGCAACGCCGCGUGAGUGAAGAAGUAUUUCGGUAUGUAAAGCUCUAUCAGCAGGGAAGAGAAUGACGGUACCUGACUAAGAAGCCCCGGCUAACUACGUGCCAGCAGCCGCGGUAAUACGUAGGGGGCAAGCGUUAUCCGGAUUUACUGGGUGUAAAGGGAGCGUAGACGGCAUGGCAAGUCAGAUGUGAAAGCCCGGGGCCCAACCCCGGGACUGCUCUUGGAACUGCGCGGCUGGAGUGCAGGAGGGGCAGGCGGAAUUCCUGGUGUAGCGGUGAAAUGCGUAGAUAUCAGGAGGAACACCGGUGGCGAAGGCGGCCUGCUGGACUGCGACUGACGUUGAGGCCCGAAAGCGUGGGGAGCAGACAGGAUUAGAUACCCGAGUA